ACAGCUUCCCUCCCUCCAAACAUUUUUUACCUCUCUCUGCUUGUUCUUUGCUGGAUUUCUUUGCUGUCAUAUUUGUUUUUAUUUCGACUUAAGACGGCUUUUUAAUGCUUCUGCUACCUCAUGAAUCUGUGUUUGAACCCACUCCGGUAAACCAGAGUAACAGACCUCGAAAGCUGCACUUGUGAAGCAAACACUGUAUCCAAAAGCAGUGGGAGCCGAUGGUGUCAGGAAGGAGGUGUCGCUCCCUGCCUCGGCUGCUCUGCCGUGCCACAUCUGUCCGUCUGUCAAGCAUACAGGCCCAUCAAUCACACUGUGAGCGCAGAUGAUCUUGUGAACUCAUCGUGAAUCCUGACCAUCUGGUAAGCAGAUACAGGGUUAAAGAAAGAGCUGCUGGGCAGAGCAACCACAGUGCAUCAGGAUGCUGUGUGUUUAAGCGGUUACAGAUUGAACAAUCUGGACUGAAAAUACGACCACAGCGACCAAUGACAGGACCAAAAUGUGGAACCCAGUAUUUGAUCAGUAACAGCAGUGUAAAAAAGCCAUGGAAUCCAAGGUUAAAAACUCCUAACUCCUAAAUCAUAUGUUUAUAAGAUACUUAAAUGCAGCGGCAUACUCACUUUGAAGGAAUUCCUCCAGAUUAAACUUUUAUCAACAUCAUAAGCACAAGUUAAUGACUGCUAAUAAUGUUAAUGAACAUAUCCUCAGAGGUGAAACCAACAUGCAGUUUGCUUCAGUUUUCUGAGCUACAGAUUCUCACAGGCUGCAAAACAUGACCUGCAUUU
Molecule: long non-coding RNA, 782 nt
Organism: Cheilinus undulatus (humphead wrasse)
Lineage: Eukaryota; Metazoa; Chordata; Actinopteri; Labriformes; Labridae
Exons: 5
Source: RefSeq, a predicted model, not a curated record